RNAcentral lists this transfer RNA (70 nucleotides) under Erinaceus europaeus (western European hedgehog). RNAcentral's name for it is "tRNA (ENSEEUG00000023931.1)". It matches the Rfam family "tRNA". From Rfam's summary of the family: Transfer RNA (tRNA) molecules are approximately 80 nucleotides in length. Their secondary structure includes four short double-helical elements and three loops (D, anti-codon, and T loops). Further hydrogen bonds mediate the characteristic L-shaped molecular structure. tRNAs have two regions of fundamental functional importance: the anti-codon, which is responsible for specific mRNA codon recognition, and the 3' end, to which the tRNAs corresponding amino acid is attached (by aminoacyl-tRNA synthetases). tRNAs cope with the degeneracy of the genetic code in two manners: having more than one tRNA (with a specific anti-codon) for a particular amino acid; and 'wobble' base-pairing, i.e. permitting non-standard base-pairing at the 3rd anti-codon position. The record is from Rfam by way of RNAcentral. RNAcentral also lists the same sequence under 1 other name. Lineage: Eukaryota; Metazoa; Chordata; Mammalia; Eulipotyphla; Erinaceidae.
GGUAAAAUGGCCGAGAUAUAGGUAUUAGACUGUAAAUCUAAACACAGAAGGAUAGACCUUCUUUUUACCA